GAAAAAAUAUUUCUAAUCAAAAUGAAAAAACACAAAACCCAAAAGCAAGAUGAGGUGAUGGUGGAGUUCAUGAGAAGUAAUCCGGAGGAUUUGUUAAAGGUGACCGAACUGCAGCUGAGGCGAAGUGGUCGCAGCUGACUAAUGACUUAAAUGCUAUUGGCCCUCCUUGCAAGGACGUUAACGGCUGGAAAAAGGUUUGGUCGGAUUGGAAAAUAACCAUAAGGAGGAAACUUGCGAAAAAUAAGCAGGAAACCAAAGCUACCGGCGGCGGCCCAUACGCCCAGCUUGUCGUCCUUCC
This is a long non-coding RNA of Rhagoletis zephyria (snowberry fruit fly), 298 nucleotides long. RefSeq lists it as uncharacterized. The record is from RefSeq and is a predicted model, not a curated record. NCBI's taxonomy places the organism in Eukaryota, Metazoa, Arthropoda, Insecta, Diptera, Tephritidae.